GAAGGUGGCAAGCGUUACUCGGAAUUACUAGGCGUAAAGGGCAGGUAGGUGGUUUGAUAAGUCUGUUGUGAAAGCUCCUGGCUUAACUGGGAGAGGUCAACAGAAACUAUCAGGCUUGAGUAUGGGAGAGGGUACUGGAAUUCCCGGUGUAGCGGUGAAAUGCGCAGAGAUCGGGAGGAACACCUAUGGCGAAAGCAGGUACCUGGACCAUUACUGACACUCAGCUGCGAAAGCUAGGGGAGCAAACAGGAUUAGAUACCCUGGUAGUCCUAGCCGUAAACGAUGCACAUUAGACGUGAGGGGUAUCGACCCCCUUCGUGUCGACGCAAACGCAUUAAAUGUGCCGCCUGGGGAGUACGGCCGCAAGGUUG
This 371-nucleotide ribosomal RNA is filed under the name uncultured bacterium. RNAcentral describes it as "bacterial SSU rRNA". It matches the Rfam family "Bacterial small subunit ribosomal RNA", at positions 527 to 896 of the family's 1533-position model. The record is from RNAcentral.